Molecule: ribosomal RNA, 843 nt
Filed under: uncultured bacterium
Lineage: Bacteria
Description: bacterial SSU rRNA
Rfam family: Bacterial small subunit ribosomal RNA
Source: RNAcentral
CAAGUCGAGCGAUGAAGCACCUUCGGGUGUGAAUUAGCGGCGAACGGGUGAGGAACACGUGAGAAAUCUGCCUUCAACACUGGGAUAACUCCGGGAAACCGGGGCUAAUACCGGAUAUGAAACCUGCGGGCAUCCGCGGGUUUGGAAAGUUUUUCGGUUGAAGAUGAUCUCGCGGCCUAUCAGCUUGUUGGUGAGGUAAUGGCUCACCAAGGCGACGACGGGUAGCCGGCCUGAGAGGGCGACCGGCCACACUGGGACUGAGACACGGCCCAGACUCCUACGGGAGGCAGCAGUGGGGAAUAUUGGGCAAUGGAGGAAACUCUGACCCAGCGACGCCGCGUGCGGGAUGAAGGCCUUCGGGUUGUAAACCGCUUUCAGCAGGGAAGAAGCGAAAGUGACGGUACCUACAGAAGAAGCACCGGCUAACUAUGUGCCAGCAGCCGCGGUAAUACAUAGGGUGCAAGCGUUGUCCGGAAUUAUUGGGCGUAAAGAGCUCGUAGGUGGUUCGUCACGUCGGAUGUGAAACUCUGGGGCUUAACCCCAGACCUGCAUUCGAUACGGGCGAGCUUGAGUAUGGUAGGGGAGUCUGGAAUUCCUGGUGUAGCGGUGGAAUGCGCAGAUAUCAGGAGGAACACCAAUGGCGAAGGCAGGACUCUGGGCCAUUACUGACACUGAGGAGCGAAAGCGUGGGGAGCGAACAGGAUUAGAUACCCUGGUAGUCCACGCCGUAAACGGUGGGCACUAGUUGUGGGGACCUUCCACGGUCUCUGCGACGCAGCUAACGCAUUAAGUGCCCCGCCUGGGGAGUACGAUCGCAAGAUUAAAACUCAAAGGAAUUGACGG